CACACAUAACAUAGGGGAAUAAAAAGGACACUGAUCACAAAUAGCACCCAUGGUUAUACAACCCCCCUGGCCUCCCACCCGUUUGUUUACAGCUGUCAGAAUCUGACAUGGAAUUUUCUCACAGCUAAACAAAAAUAUGGUAUGAUGUCAUCAGAAGACUGCUCCCUAGACAGUGUUCGUUACACAGCUACUUGAAAACGACAUUUCCAUUCGCCAAAAGCCUAGCUUGUACAUUCAGAGGACCUUUUCAACAUACAUAAGGGUGGAGAAAUAACAAACACCUUACAGUGCAUAUCAGAGAGGUUGUAAGAGGCAGGGUCAAUCUUUGCCUUCUGUAAAGUUUCAAUCCUUCUUGGAAUGCAGUCAAACAAGUCAAGAACUGUUUGUAGUAGGAUAUCACAUCAUUCUUAAACAAGGCUCCAGUACUUUAACUCCUUCACAACCAAGUUAUUUUUAUUUAAACAACAGCAUAACAUUUUGUUUAAAUUGUACAUUUUAUGUUGUAUAAAUUGCUGUUUAAGGAUAUUAGGGGUGGGGGCACUAUUUUUUUUUUAAUUCACCAAUUAUUUACAGAUCAUAGGAAACCCUUUUUCUUGCAGGAUUUCAGACAAGGGAUUGUUGGGAAUAAUCUGACAAGCAUGAACGAUCUACAGGAGAAG
Non-coding RNA from Pelobates cultripes (western spadefoot toad), 659 nucleotides. NCBI's taxonomy places the organism in Eukaryota, Metazoa, Chordata, Amphibia, Anura, Pelobatidae. The record is from the annotation of a GenBank genome assembly.